GAACUCAAAGGAGACUGCCAGUGAUAAACUGGAGGAAGGUGGGGAUGACGUCAAGUCAUCAUGGCCCUUACGAGUAGGGCUACACACGUGCUACAAUGG
RNAcentral lists this ribosomal RNA (99 nucleotides) under uncultured Citrobacter sp. RNAcentral's name for it is "partial 16S ribosomal RNA". It matches the Rfam family "Bacterial small subunit ribosomal RNA", at positions 1135 to 1233 of the family's 1533-position model. Lineage: Bacteria; Pseudomonadati; Pseudomonadota; Gammaproteobacteria; Enterobacterales; Enterobacteriaceae. The record is from RNAcentral.